CACGUAGGGUGCGAGCGUUGUCCGGAAUUAUUGGGCGUAAAGAGCUCGUAGGCGGUGUGUCGCGUCGGCCGUGAAAACUUGCAGCUCAACUGUGGGCGUGCGGGCGAUACGGGCAGACUGGAGUACUGCAGGGGAGACUGGAAUUCCGGGUGUAGCGGUGGAAUGCGUAGAGAUCCGGAAGAACGCCGGUGGCGAAGGCGGCUUGCUGGGACAGUGCUGACGCUGAAGCGCGACAGCGUGGGGAGCAAACAGG
This 253-nucleotide ribosomal RNA is filed under the name uncultured bacterium. RNAcentral describes it as "partial 16S ribosomal RNA". It matches the Rfam family "Bacterial small subunit ribosomal RNA", at positions 524 to 776 of the family's 1533-position model. The record is from RNAcentral.